UGGAGGAACAACCCCAGUGGCGGGGCCAGCUCUGGAAACCUGGAUUCAGCUCCCACAGUAACUCCAGAGCUCUCCGUCUGCAGGGCCUGGAGGCUCCAGGGCGGG
Molecule: microRNA precursor, 105 nt
Filed under: Canis lupus familiaris (dog)
Lineage: Eukaryota; Metazoa; Chordata; Mammalia; Carnivora; Canidae
Also listed under: 1 other name
Description: mir-8834 microRNA precursor family
Rfam family: mir-8834 microRNA precursor family
Source: Rfam by way of RNAcentral